UGAUAUUUCCCACACAUUUCUUCUCCCUUCCCUUGCGCGCUCGGUCGAAGAGGACGACCAUCCCCGAUAGAGGAGGACCGUUCUUCGGUCAAGGGUAUAUGAGUAGCUGCGCUCCCCUGCUAGAACCUCCAAACAAGCUCUUAAGGUGCAUUUUUAAAUACAAACAACAACCCCAAAUCACCAGAUAUUACCAGAAAGCUUCU
RNAcentral lists this small nuclear RNA (203 nucleotides) under Canis lupus familiaris (dog). Its description in RNAcentral is "7SK RNA". It matches the Rfam family "7SK RNA". From Rfam's summary of the family: 7SK was discovered as an abundant small nuclear RNA in the mid-70s but a possible function has only recently been suggested. Two independent studies have found that 7SK RNA binds the CDK9/cyclin T complex (known as elongation factor P-TEFb). Lineage: Eukaryota; Metazoa; Chordata; Mammalia; Carnivora; Canidae. RNAcentral also lists the same sequence under 1 other name. The record is from Rfam by way of RNAcentral.